RNAcentral lists this ribosomal RNA (574 nucleotides) under uncultured Gammaproteobacteria bacterium. RNAcentral's name for it is "bacterial SSU rRNA". It matches the Rfam family "Bacterial small subunit ribosomal RNA", at positions 202 to 760 of the family's 1533-position model. The record is from RNAcentral. Lineage: Bacteria; Pseudomonadati; Pseudomonadota; Gammaproteobacteria.
AGCGGGGGAUCUUCGGACCUCGCGCUAUCGGAUGAGCCUAGGUCGGAUUAGCUAGUUGGUGAGGUAAUGGCUCACCAAGGCGACGAUCCGUAGCUGGUCUGAGAGGAUGAUCAGCCACACUGGGACUGAGACACGGCCCAGACUCCUACGGGAGGCAGCAGUGGGGAAUAUUGGACAAUGGGCGAAAGCCUGAUCCAGCCAUGCCGCGUGUGUGAAGAAGGUCUUCGGAUUGUAAAGCACUUUAAGUUGGGAGGAAGGGCUGUUACCUAAUACGUGACAGUUUUGACGUUACCAACAGAAUAAGCACCGGCUAACUUCGUGCCAGCAGCCGCGGUAAUACGAAGGGUGCAAGCGUUAAUCGGAAUUACUGGGCGUAAAGCGUGCGCAGGCGGUUGUGCAAGACAGAUGUGAAAUCCCCGGGCUUAACUUGGGAAUUGCAUUUGUGACUGCACGGCUAGAGUGUGUCAGAGGGGGGUAGAAUUCCACGUGUAGCAGUGAAAUGCGUAGAGAUGUGGAGGAAUACCGAUGGCGAAGGCAGCCCCCUGGGAUAACACUGACGCUCAUGCACGAGAGC